Molecule: long non-coding RNA, 463 nt
Filed under: Mus musculus (house mouse)
Lineage: Eukaryota; Metazoa; Chordata; Mammalia; Rodentia; Muridae
Description: predicted gene 44983
Source: RNAcentral
UCUGCGUGCUACCAUGUUUCCUAAGAUGAUAAUGGACUAAACCUCUGAACCUCCUCCAGAGCCACAUUGUCCACGCCUGUACUAGCCCUGCCCACCGCCUGGAGCUUCUCUGCUGCAUUGAUGACAACAGCAGUGACCUUAGUAGCUGACCGGACAAUAAUGCCUUCACAGUCCUGCAGCUCGGCUGUCAGCUCCUUCUUGCUCAAGUUCUGCUUCUCCACCACCUGCAGCCCUCCAUCUUGCAGGAUCUUCCGGCAGCAGGGCUCCAGGCUGUCACUGAUGAGUACUUUGCUCAGAUUUGCAAAGGCCAUUGCUAGAGUCAAGCCUUAGAAUCAGUUGCUCUGGGUGGGCAGAAGCACUUAGUUCAAAAACUGCAGGCAAGGGCUGGCUCUGGUGACUGGGCAGGAAUUUUCUUUUGUUUUUUAAGACAGAUUUAUUUAUUAUUAUAUGUAAGUACACUGUA